GUCUACCGCCAUGCUACCCUGAACAAGCCCAAUCCCAUCUGAUCUCGGAAGCUAAUCAGUGUUGGGCCCAGUUAGUACUUGGAUGGGAGACCACCUAAGAAGACCAGGUGCUGUAGGAA
Molecule: ribosomal RNA, 119 nt
Filed under: Pteropus alecto (black flying fox)
Lineage: Eukaryota; Metazoa; Chordata; Mammalia; Chiroptera; Pteropodidae
Also listed under: 1 other name
Source: RNAcentral